CCUACGGGGGGCUGCAGUGGGGAAUAUUGGACAAUGGGGGGAACCCUGAUCCAGCCAUGCCGCGUGUGUGAAGAAGGCCCUCGGGUUGUAAAGCACUUUCAGUGAGGAAGAACGCCUGGUGGUUAAUACCCAUCAGGAAAGACAUCACUCACAGAAGAAGCACCGGCUAACUCCGUGCCAGCAGCCGCGGUAAUACGGAGGGUGCGAGCGUUAAUCGGAAUUACUGGGCGUAAAGCGCGCGUAGGUGGCUUGAUAAGCCGGUUGUGAAAGCCCCGGGCUCAACCUGGGAACGCCAUCCGGAACUGUCAAGCUAGAGUGCAGGAGAGGAAGGUAGAAUUCCCGGUGUAGCGGUGAAAUGCGUAGAGAUCGGGAGGAAUACCAGUGGCGAAGGCGGCCUUCUGGACUGACACUGACACUGAGGUGCGAAAGCGUGGGUAGCAAACAGGAUUAGAUACCCCAGUAGUC
This 465-nucleotide ribosomal RNA is filed under the name Vreelandella stevensii. RNAcentral describes it as "partial 16S ribosomal RNA". It matches the Rfam family "Bacterial small subunit ribosomal RNA", at positions 338 to 795 of the family's 1533-position model. Lineage: Bacteria; Pseudomonadati; Pseudomonadota; Gammaproteobacteria; Oceanospirillales; Halomonadaceae. The record is from RNAcentral.